GACGAGCCUCACGAACGUUAUUCGGAAUUACUGGGCUUAAAGGGUGCGUAGGCUGUGCGGCAAGUUGGGUGUGAAAUCCCUCGGCUCAACCGAGGAACUGCGCCCAAAACUACCGUACUCGAGGAAGAUAGAGGUGAGCGGAACUUACGGUGGAGCGGUGAAAUGCGUUGAUAUCGUUUGGAACGCCAAUGGUGAAAACAGGUUGCUGGGAGUGUGCUGACGCUGAGACACGAAAGCCAGGGGAGCAAACGGG
RNAcentral lists this ribosomal RNA (253 nucleotides) under uncultured bacterium. RNAcentral's name for it is "partial 16S ribosomal RNA". It matches the Rfam family "Bacterial small subunit ribosomal RNA", at positions 524 to 776 of the family's 1533-position model. The record is from RNAcentral.